RNAcentral lists this ribosomal RNA (500 nucleotides) under Epicoccum nigrum. RNAcentral's name for it is "eukaryotic LSU rRNA". The stretch from base 136 to 289 matches the Rfam family "5.8S ribosomal RNA". Lineage: Eukaryota; Fungi; Ascomycota; Dothideomycetes; Pleosporales; Didymellaceae. The record is from RNAcentral.
UUGCAGACUUCGGUCUGCUACCUCUUACCCAUGUCUUUUGAGUACCUUCGUUUCCUCGGCGGGUCCGCCCGCCGGUUGGACAACAUUCAAACCCUUUGCAGUUGCAAUCAGCGUCUGAAAAAACAUAAUAGUUACAACUUUCAACAACGGAUCUCUUGGUUCUGGCAUCGAUGAAGAACGCAGCGAAAUGCGAUAAGUAGUGUGAAUUGCAGAAUUCAGUGAAUCAUCGAAUCUUUGAACGCACAUUGCGCCCCUUGGUAUUCCAUGGGGCAUGCCUGUUCGAGCGUCAUUUGUACCUUCAAGCUCUGCUUGGUGUUGGGUGUUUUGUCUCGCCUCUGCGUGUAGACUCGCCUUAAAACAAUUGGCAGCCGGCGUAUUGAUUUCGGAGCGCAGUACAUCUCGCGCUUUGCACUCAUAACGACGACGUCCAAAAGUACAUUUUUACACUCUUGACCUCGGAUCAGGUAGGGAUACCCGCUGAACUUAAGCAUAUCAAUAAG